Molecule: long non-coding RNA, 884 nt
Organism: Aedes albopictus (Asian tiger mosquito)
Lineage: Eukaryota; Metazoa; Arthropoda; Insecta; Diptera; Culicidae
Exons: 4
Source: RefSeq, a predicted model, not a curated record
UAUUACUCGGGCAGCAAAUACCAAAUUCGCACGGUGACAAAAUCGCUCGGAAAUUGCGAAACACCGCCGAAAAGCGCCAACCAAAAUCAAUCCUGCGAGAAAACUCUUCGGGUGUCGCUGAUCGUCGGUGGAAGUUCAUUGCCGAGUCUCACCACCAGGCUGAUACUAACCACGUGAACCGGUGCACUCACACGCGAACCGGAACGGUCCAGUGCAUAGAAGAGGAUCACCAGUAACCUCAGGAAAGUCUAGGAAUUUUGGGACUACGGAGCACAUGUGUGCGUGCAGAACGGUACAUCCGAGCAACUACUUUGUUCUCGGACAGCCUGGUCCAAGCAGCCGUUGACCGGAAGGAGCUCAUAAUCUGCCAGGAAGUGCCACGAAAAUUACCACCAUCCGAUCGAAUCAAAAUAGACGCCACAUCCGUCGGGUUUUCACGAAGAGACUCCGUCUUCCCGGCUCCGCAUCCGCUUGUGGUCUAGGGGAACGCCAGAACAGUAACCAAAAUCUGCGCGGAUACCACGCUACGGAAGCAAUUGGAGUGAGCAGCACAUAGAUCCGUCGGAGCAGCUGAAUCACCCGGAAGCUGACAGAAGCUAGUGACUUCGGGGAGAAGCCUCAAACAAGAAGAGCCUUCAUAUAGAAGUAAGCCUGGACCACUGCUCGUUCCAUAUACGGAGGCUAAUCAGCAUUUCCCGAAAGGGCUCUUUUCCUUACAGCUUCGAGUUGCCCAUUUCGGAAAGGGCGGUUCUGAGGAGUACCCGUGGAACCACAUCCACUCAACCGAAACGGAUUCCGAUCCGACCAGCUUGCUCGCGAAGCCAUCAUCCUGCCAGCGUAGACUCCCAAGGAAGGCAGGGGUUCCACACCGACGACGCAGCGCC